GAUGAACGCUGGCGGCGUGCCUAAUACAUGCAAGUCGAGCGAACGGACGAGAACCUUGCUUCUCUGAUGUUAGCGGAGGACGGGUGAGUAACACGUGGAUAACCUACCUAUAAUACUGGGAUAACUUCGGGAAACCGGCUCAAACACGGGAUAAUAUUUUGAUCCGCAUGGUUCAAAAGUGAAAGACGGUCUUGCUGUCACUUAUAGAUGGAUCCGCGCUGUAUUAGCUAGUUGGUAAGGUAAGGGCUUACCAAGGCAACGAUGCAUAGCCGACCUGAGAGGGUGAUCGGCGACACUGGAACUGAGAGACGGUCCAGACUCCUACGGGCGGCAGCAGUACGGACUCUUCCGCAAUGGGCGAAAGCCUGCCGGAGCAACGCCGCGUGAGUGAUGAAAGUCUGCGUAUCGUAAAACUCUGUUAUUAGUGAAGAACACAUGUGUAAGGAACGGUGCACAUCUUGACGGUACCUGAUCAGAAAGCCACGGCUAACUACGUG
Molecule: ribosomal RNA, 497 nt
Filed under: uncultured bacterium
Lineage: Bacteria
Description: partial 16S ribosomal RNA
Rfam family: Bacterial small subunit ribosomal RNA
Source: RNAcentral